UACGGAAGGCAGCAGUGGGGAAUAUUGCACAAUGGGCGCAAGCCUGAUGCAGCCAUGCCGCGUGUAUGAAGAAGGCCUUCGGGUUGUAAAGUACUUUCAGUCGUGAGGAAGGUGUUAAGGUUAAUAACCUUAGCAAUUGACGUUAGCGACAGAAGAAGCACCGGCUAACUCCGUGCCAGCAGCCGCGGUAAUACGGAGGGUGCGAGCGUUAAUCGGAAUUACUGGGCGUAAAGGGCACGCAGGCGGUUAAUUAAGUUGGAUGUGAAAUCCCCGGGCUUAACCUGGGAAUGGCAUUCAAGACUGGUUAGCUAGAGUCUUGUAGAGGGGGUAGAAUUCCAUGUGUAGCGGUGAAAUGCGUAGAGAUGUGGAGGAAUACCGGUGGCGAAGGCGGCCCCUGGGACAAAGACUGACGCUCAUGUGCGAAAGCGUGGGGAGCAAACAGGAUUAGAUGCC
RNAcentral lists this ribosomal RNA (453 nucleotides) under uncultured bacterium. RNAcentral describes it as "bacterial SSU rRNA". It matches the Rfam family "Bacterial small subunit ribosomal RNA", at positions 340 to 786 of the family's 1533-position model. The record is from RNAcentral.